Molecule: ribosomal RNA, 385 nt
Filed under: uncultured bacterium
Lineage: Bacteria
Description: bacterial SSU rRNA
Rfam family: Archaeal small subunit ribosomal RNA
Source: RNAcentral
UCGCGAAAACUUCGCAAUGGGGGCAACCCCGACGAGGGAAUUCCAAGUGCUAGCACUUUGUGUUAGCUGUUCUUCUGUCUAAAAAACAGGAGGAGUAAGGGGCGGGUAAGACGGGUGCCAGCCGCCGCGGUAAUACCCGCGCCCCAAGUGGUGGUCGAUAUUAUUGAGCCUAAAACGUCCGUAGCCGGUCUUCUAAAUCCUUGGGUAAAUCGGGCAGCUUAACUGUCCGAAGUCCGGGGAGACUGGGAGACUUGGGACCGGGAGAGGUCAGAGGUACUUCUGGGGUAGGGGUAAAAUCCUGUAAUCCUGGAAGGACCACCGGUGGCGAAGGCGUCUGACUAGAACGGAUCCGACGGUGAGGGACGAAGCCCUGGGGCGCAAACGG